Molecule: ribosomal RNA, 468 nt
Filed under: uncultured bacterium
Lineage: Bacteria
Description: partial 16S ribosomal RNA
Rfam family: Bacterial small subunit ribosomal RNA
Source: RNAcentral
GACGAACGCUGGCGGCGUGCUUAACACAUGCAAGUCGAACGGAAAGGCCCUGCUUUCGUGGGGUGCCAGAGUGGCGAACGGGUGAGUAACACGUGAGUAACCUGCCCUUGACUUUGGGAUAACUUCAGGAAACUGGGGCUAAUACCGGAGAGGAGCGCCUGCUGCAUGGUGGGGGUUGGAAAGUUUCGGCGGUUGGGGAUGGACGCGCGGCUUAUCAGCUUGUUGGUGGGGUAGUGGCUUACCCAGGCUUUGACGGGUAGCCGGCCUGAGAGGGUGACCGGCCACAUUGGGACUGAGAUACGGCCCAGACGCCUACGGGAGGCAGCAGUGGGGAAUAUUGCACAAUGGGCGGAAGCCUGAUGCAGCAACGCCGCGUGCGGGAUGACGGCCUUCGGGUUGUAAACCGCUUUCGCCUGUGACGAAGCGUGAGUGACGGUAAUGGGUAAAGAAGCACCGGCUAACUACGUG